Molecule: ribosomal RNA, 533 nt
Filed under: uncultured bacterium
Lineage: Bacteria
Description: bacterial SSU rRNA
Rfam family: Bacterial small subunit ribosomal RNA
Source: RNAcentral
AAUAGAUACCCGGGUAGUCCACGCCGUAAACGAUGUGUGCUAGACGUCGGGAUGUUCCGCAUUCGGUGUCGCCGCUAACGCAUUAAGCACACCGCCUGGGGGAGUACGGCCGCAAGGUUAAAACUCAAAGGAAUUGACGGGGGGCCCGCACAAGCGGUGGAGCAUGUGGUUUAAUUCGACGCAACGCGCAGAACCUUACCAGCCCUUGACAUCCCGGUCGCGGGGACCAGAGACGGUCUCCUUCAGUUCGGCUGGACCGGAGACAGGUGCUGCAUGGCUGUCGUCAGCUCGUGUCGUGAGAUGUUGGGUUAAGUCCCGCAACGAGCGCAACCCUCAUCCUUAGUUGCCAUCAUUUGGUUGGGCACUCUAAGGAAACUGCCGGUGACAAGCCGGAGGAAGGCGGGGAUGACGUCAAGUCCUCAUGGCCCUUAUGGGCUGGGCUACACACGUGCUACAAUGGCGGUGACAAUGGGCGGCGAGCCUGCAAAGGUCAGCAAAUCCCAAAAAGCCGUCUCAGUUCGGAUUGUCCUCUG